RNAcentral lists this ribosomal RNA (582 nucleotides) under uncultured bacterium. RNAcentral describes it as "bacterial SSU rRNA". It matches the Rfam family "Bacterial small subunit ribosomal RNA", at positions 346 to 919 of the family's 1533-position model. The record is from RNAcentral.
AGGCAGCAGUAGGGAAUCUUCGGCAAUGGGGGCAACCCUGACCGAGCAACGCCGCGUGAGUGAAGAAGGUUUUCGGAUCGUAAAGCUCUGUUGUAAGUCAAGAACGAGUGUGAGAGUGGAAAGUUCACACUGUGACGGUAGCUUACCAGAAAGGGACGGCUAACUACGUGCCAGCAGCCGCGGUAAUACGUAGGUCCCGAGCGUUGUCCGGAUUUAUUGGGCGUAAAGCGAGCGCAGGCGGUUUGAUAAGUCUGAAGUUAAAGGCUGUGACUCAACCAUAGUUCGCUUUGGAAACUGUCAAACUUGAGUGCAGAAGGGGAGAGUGGAAUUCCAUGUGUAGCGGUGAAAUGCGUAGAUAUAUGGAGGAACACCGGUGGCGAAAGCGGCUCUCUGGUCUGUAACUGACGCUGAGGCUCGAAAGCGUGGGGAGCAAACAGGAUUAGAUACCCUGGUAGUCCACGCCGUAAACGAUGAGUGCUAGGUGUUAGACCCUUUCCGGGGUUUAGUGCCGCAGCUAACGCAUUAAGCACUCCGCCUGGGGAGUACGACCGCAAGGUUGAAACUCAAAGGAAUUGACGGGGG